UCAAAUUCAGUCAGGCGGCGCAUGAUUUACAAUGCGCAAUAUCAACACCACACGUGCACAAGCAGGGUUUCUGCUAUAUGCAUGUAGCAGCGGCACACUGCCGCGCCAUCAGCCGUUUAUGAAAUGUCAUAAAGUCGUAAUUAUACACUCCGCAGAGCCAUCUACUCUACUGAUCUCAGGCAGCCACUAUCUCACUCUCCCCUCUGAGGAGGAAAAACUGGAACAUGAAAACCGCACUCACGCGGGUCCCCUGAAAUAUAACAGCUACAGUUUAUCGCAAAAUAGUGUCGGACACACUGACUUUGAUGAAUUGCCAAAUAUGUCACAUA
Molecule: long non-coding RNA, 329 nt
Organism: Etheostoma spectabile (orangethroat darter)
Lineage: Eukaryota; Metazoa; Chordata; Actinopteri; Perciformes; Percidae
Exons: 3
Source: RefSeq, a predicted model, not a curated record